RNAcentral lists this ribosomal RNA (505 nucleotides) under uncultured bacterium. RNAcentral's name for it is "partial 16S ribosomal RNA". It matches the Rfam family "Bacterial small subunit ribosomal RNA", at positions 28 to 507 of the family's 1533-position model. The record is from RNAcentral.
GACGAACGCUGGCGGCGUGCCUAAUACAUGCAAGUAGAACGCACAGUUUAUACCGUAGCUUGCUACACCAUAGACUGUGAGUUGCGAACGGGUGAGUAACGCGUAGGUAACCUGCCUGGUAGCGGGGGAUAACUAUUGGAAACGAUAGCUAAUACCGCAUAAUAUUAAUUAUUGCAUGAUAAUUAAUUGAAAGGUGCAAUUGCACCACUACCAGAUGGACCUGCGUUGUAUUAGCUAGUAGGUGAGGUAACGGCUCACCUAGGCGACGAUACAUAGCCGACCUGAGAGGGUGAUCGGCAACACUGGGACUGAGACACGGCCCAGACUCCUACGGGAGGCAGCAGUAGGGAAUCUUCGGCAAUGGACGAAAGUCUGACCGAGCAACGCCGCGUGAGUGAAGAAGGUUGUCGGAUCGUAAAGCUCUGUUGUAAGAGAAGAACGGGUGUGAGAGUGGAAAGUUCACACUGUGACGGUAUCUUACCAGAAAGGGGCGGCUAACUACGUG